This is a long non-coding RNA of Lolium rigidum, 1081 nucleotides long. RefSeq lists it as uncharacterized. The record is from RefSeq and is a predicted model, not a curated record. The transcript is spliced from 3 exons. NCBI's taxonomy places the organism in Eukaryota, Viridiplantae, Streptophyta, Magnoliopsida, Poales, Poaceae.
UUCUGUGCUUGCUGGGAAUUCCAUUUACUGGAUGCUUAUUGGGAAUUUCAAUGGAAUUCUCGAGUUUGACCUGGAAAAGCAAAGCCUUGCUGUCAUACGGGUGCCAGAGCGGAUGCUUCAGUUCCAGUUCUUCAUGAUGCGGGCAGAGGGUGGGGGCCUCGGUUUACUCUUGGUAACAGGGAGCGGCAUCCAACUGUGGAAGAGGAAGACCGAUUGUGAUGGUGCUACUUCAUGGGCGCUCGGAAGAACUAUUGAACUGAAUAAGCUGCUUUCCCUGAAUUCACACACCAAAACAGUAAUAGGUUUCGCUGAGGAAAAUAAUGUGGUGUUCCUGUGGGCAGGUGGUCCUGUCUUUAUGGUCCAUCUUGAGUCAUUGCAGUUCAAGAAAUUAUUUGAAACCAACAUAGUUUCUGAAUAUCAGCCAUUUGAAAGUGUCUUCACUGCAGAAACAGGAAUUGGUGGUGGAAAUGAUGCAGCUGAUAUUUUGCACCAUCCAUAAGAUGAUUGUCUGGUUCAGUAUGCUAUUGUGAUGUACUAGUUGAGCAGAUAUAGGAUCACAUUCUGGUGGCUGAGAUGCAGAAAUGGGUUGUGUGCUGUAGGUUCUUCCAUUUGUAUGCUGCUUCAUCCGGAAAUUGGCCCUCUAUACUGGUCAACUGUCAAGUUCGGUUUCUGCGAAUUAAUCGCUUCAUUUGCUAGAUUACCAUCUAUUAUCUAGUCUUUGUAGACAUUAGUCAACUGGGCUUAGUGAUUGGUGUUUACACUGUCAGUUAAUCCUGGGUUCAUUUGCUUAUGCCUUCCAAGCAAGCACGUUAAUGCAGGUCACCUGUGGGUUGUGUACUGCUGUGUGUUAUUUAUGUACCGUUUACCUAUAUCAGUUAACCCAUGUUGUGUCAGGUUAGGAUUUCAACUCUAAAUCUCUGCUUAUGUUUCAUCACAUGAUGCUCCCUUUAUUUCUUCAUGUGUGUGCAUGCGUGCUGUAUUUGUAGUAGGUAAGAAUUUGCAUUACAGAAUGAUAACUUUAAAUUUGUAUCAUGAUUACACAUGUUCUUGAAUCCUAGACAUCACGUACUACCUCUGUCUA